Molecule: transfer RNA, 64 nt
Filed under: Sympis rufibasis
Lineage: Eukaryota; Metazoa; Arthropoda; Insecta; Lepidoptera; Erebidae
Description: tRNA-Cys
Source: RNAcentral
AGCUUUAUAUUCAAAAAUGAUAUAAAAUUGCAAAUUUUAAGGAGUAAAAUUAUUACUAAGGCUU